Molecule: ribosomal RNA, 464 nt
Filed under: uncultured bacterium
Lineage: Bacteria
Description: partial 16S ribosomal RNA
Rfam family: Bacterial small subunit ribosomal RNA
Source: RNAcentral
GACGAACGCUGGCGGCGUGCUUAACACAUGCAAGUCGAACGGAAAGGCCCUGCUUGCAGGGUAUUCGAGUGGCGAACGGGUGAGUAACACGUGGGUGAUCUGCCCUGCACUUCGGGAUAAGCCUGGGAAACUGGGUCUAAUACCGGAUAGGAGCCAUUUUUAGUGUGAUGGUUGGAAAGUUUUUUCGGUGUGGGAUGAGCUCGCGCCCUAUCAGCUUGUUGGUGGGGUAAUGGCCUACCAAGGCGGCGACGGGUAGCCGGCCUGGGAGGGUGGCCGGCCACAUUGGGCUUGAGAUACGCCCAGGACCCCUACGGGGGCAAGCGGUGGGAAUAAUUGCACAAGGGGGGGAGGCCUGUGGCAGGAACGCGGCGUGGGGAAUACCGGCCUUCGGUUGGUAAAUCCUUUCGCUAGGGACGAAGCUUUUUGUGACGGUACCUAGAUAAGAAGCACCGGCUAACUACGUG